This 721-nucleotide ribosomal RNA is filed under the name uncultured bacterium. RNAcentral's name for it is "bacterial SSU rRNA". It matches the Rfam family "Bacterial small subunit ribosomal RNA", at positions 9 to 722 of the family's 1533-position model. The record is from RNAcentral.
AGGUUUGAUCAUGGCUCAGAAUGAACGCUGGCGGCGCGCCUAAUACAUGCAAGUCGAGCGAGAAGACGUAGCAAUACGUUUGUAAAGCGGCGAACGGGUGAGGAAUACAUGGGUAACCUACCCUAGAGUGGGGAAUAACUAGCCGAAAGGUUAGCUAAUACCGCGUACGCUUCUUGGACUUCGGUUCAGGGAGGAAAGCGCUACCGAGGGUAGCGCGCUCUUGGAUGGGCUCAUGUCCUAUCAGCUAGUUGGUGAGGUAAUGGCUCACCAAGGCUUCGACGGGUAGCUGGUCUGAGAGGACGAUCAGCCACACUGGCACUGCGACACGGGCCAGACUCCUACGGGAGGCAGCAGUAAGGAAUAUUGCGCAAUGGGCGAAAGCCUGACGCAGCGACGCCGCGUGGGGGAUGAAGGUCUUCGGAUUGUAAACCCCUUUCGGGAGGGAAGAUGGAAUGGGGUAACCCAUUCGGACGGUACCUCCAGAAGCAGCCACGGCUAACUUCGUGCCAGCAGCCGCGGUAAUACGAAGGUGGCAAGCGUUAUUCGGAUUUACUGGGCGUACAGGGAGCGUAGGCGGUUUGGUAAGCCCUCUGUGAAAUCUCCAGGCUUAACCUGGAAAAGUCGGAGGGGACUGCUGGGCUAGAGGACGGGAGAGGAGCGCGGAAUUCCCGGUGUAGCGGUGAAAUGCGUAGAGAUCGGGAGGAAGGCCGGUGGCGAAGGC